RNAcentral lists this ribosomal RNA (465 nucleotides) under Vreelandella stevensii. RNAcentral describes it as "partial 16S ribosomal RNA". It matches the Rfam family "Bacterial small subunit ribosomal RNA", at positions 338 to 795 of the family's 1533-position model. The record is from RNAcentral. Lineage: Bacteria; Pseudomonadati; Pseudomonadota; Gammaproteobacteria; Oceanospirillales; Halomonadaceae.
CCUACGGGCGGCAGCAGUGGGGAAUAUUGGACAAUGGGCGAAAGCCUGAUCCAGCCAUGCCGCGUGUGUGAAGAAGGCCUUCGGGUUGUAAAGCACUUUCAGUGGGGAAGAAAGCCUUGGGGCUAAUACCCUCGAGGAAGGACAUCACCCACAGAAGAAGCACCGGCUAACUCCGUGCCAGCAGCCGCGGUAAUACGGAGGGUGCGAGCGUUAAUCGGAAUUACUGGGCGUAAAGCGCGCGUAGGCGGUCUGAUAAGCCGGUUGUGAAAGCCCCGGGCUCAACCUGGGAACGGCAUCCGGAACUGGCAGGCUAGAGUGCAGGAGAGGAAGGUAGAAUUCCCGGUGUAGCGGUGAAAUGCGUAGAGAUCUGGAGGAAUACCAGUGGCGAAGGCGGCCUCCUGGACUGAGACUGACGCUGAGGUGCGAAAGCGUGGGUAGCAAACAGGAUUAGAUACCCCAGUAGUC